GUGAGGGUGGCGGAAUUGGUAGACGCGCUAGCUUCAGGUGUUAGUGUCCUUCGGACGUGGGGGUUCAAGUCCCCCCUUUCGCACCA
Molecule: transfer RNA, 86 nt
Filed under: Providencia rettgeri
Lineage: Bacteria; Pseudomonadati; Pseudomonadota; Gammaproteobacteria; Enterobacterales; Morganellaceae
Description: tRNA-Leu
Rfam family: tRNA
About the family: Transfer RNA (tRNA) molecules are approximately 80 nucleotides in length. Their secondary structure includes four short double-helical elements and three loops (D, anti-codon, and T loops).
Source: RNAcentral